UCACGCGCGUGAACCCUAGCCCCCACUCCUCUCCCUGAUCGCUCCCCGCGCCCACUCCUCUCCCCGAUCGAGAUCCCUCCGCCGCAGCCCCGUCCUCCCCUUCCUUCCACCGCCCACCUCUCCCCUCGCCUCUGCCACCCACCUCUCCCACUGGUCUGCACCCUCCCCUUCCCUCCCCUACGGCCAGAAUCAUCGCUCCCGCCUUCUACCCCUCCCCCCGUGGCUAGCUAGGGUUUUGGCCACCACCCCUAACUUCGCUGGGAUCCACCACUUCCGGCGACGGCGAGGCUAGAUCACCGCCGCCAACUCCAUCGGGCGGAGCUUUCCACCAUCCUCAUCCUCGCCCUUCAUCACCGCAUCGCCACUCCGUCCCCACUCCUCUCGAUCCCUUCCCCUUCCUCUCCUCCGUCUUCUCCUCGCGACGCCCCACCCUCCACGCGCUCGCCCGCCUCUGCGGCUCCGUCGACACCGAGAUCUCCCAAAAGCGGAGGCAGCGAAGCAGGAGGCCACGGUCGUCACGCUCAACGCCGAGAUCCGCCGCGCCAAGGCCAAGCUCCUCGAGGAGGACCUGCCCAAGCUGCAGAGCCUCGCGCUCAAGAAGGACGAGGUGGUGAACCCGCUGUUCGAGAAGAGGCCGAAGCAGUUCGGCAUCAGUGGCGCCCUGCCGCCCAAGAAGGACCUCCACCGGUUUGUCAAUUGGCCCAAGGUCAUGCGCAUCCAGCGCCAGUGCCGCAUCCUCAAGCAGCGCCUCAAGGUGCCCCAGGCACUCCACCAGUUCACCCGCACCCUCGACAAGAACAUCGGUCAUUUUGUGAAGGCCGCCAAGGGAAGGAGUGGGGGAUUUGGCACAAGGCCGGUGAUCGAGUCUAUGCUCUCUCCUCCAUGGAAAGACCUAAAUUCAGCUUGACAGAGAGCACAUGAAUGGUUUCAGCUUGACAACAAAUGUAUGAAACUUCUUAGCUGUGGACGACAACUACUUCCUUAAGAAGGACCAGCAUCACGCAUCAAGUAUGCCAUUGAGGGUGACGGCCGAAGGCAUGAUGAUAGUUCUAUUGCUGUUCUAGUGUAGCGAAGGUGGCCUAGUCGACUAUGGUCGCCUAGUGAGUCGUGCAUACGGUUUCAUCUGACUGUAAACUUGAUGUAAACUGCUCUAAUUGUGGAGCUUGUUAUCUGAUUGUAAACUUGAUGCUGAUCACAUUUGUAUGUGUGUUAUAUGAUGUAGCACUUUGAUGGUUGAUAAUAUUUGAAGUAUUUCGUGUGUUUUCUGUGUGCCAA
RNAcentral lists this ribosomal RNA (1275 nucleotides) under Triticum aestivum (bread wheat). Its description in RNAcentral is "partial small subunit ribosomal RNA". Lineage: Eukaryota; Viridiplantae; Streptophyta; Magnoliopsida; Poales; Poaceae. The record is from RNAcentral.